UUAUCCCACCAUUGGCAACCAAACAGUAGAUUAAAGGCCACUUACAUAUUAUCCCUAAAUAAAAUCCUCUUGUCCAUCACACCAACCGACCCCUUAAAGUUAUGGUAGCUACAUUAAUGUUGAGGUAUGAGUUGGAAUUGUCGUCGUUUAUGUGAUUUAUAUUAUGAGUUUAUUCACUUAACUAUGAUUUUAGUUCGUAAUAACACUUGAAUCUUAAUUCCCUAUAUUACUUGUACCAUAGGAUCUUGUAAUGUAACAAUGUCUAAACUCCCUAAAAUUCAUAUUAAAUAAUAUUCCAUAUGGAUAGGAUCGCAUAAUUAAAGUUGUGAACACAAAUAAAUGAUCCCAUCGAAUAAAGUAUAAAUGUGAACAGAAUUAGAAUUGACACGUCCAAACUAUACUUUUAACAUACAUAAAAAGACAAUGAUUAAUAUUCUUCAUUUCUUGUACUAUAAGUUGUGCUUAGCUAGGUAACCAUAUAUCUCGAAAUACAAUUUUAAUUGAUCAACGUGUAAAAUAAAUGAAUAACAAGGUACGUAUUGUAAAUGG
This 549-nucleotide long non-coding RNA is filed under the name Solanum tuberosum (potato). Its description in RNAcentral is "long non-coding RNA (STUB_LNC008649)". The record is from RNAcentral. Lineage: Eukaryota; Viridiplantae; Streptophyta; Magnoliopsida; Solanales; Solanaceae.